This 2754-nucleotide long non-coding RNA is filed under the name Gallus gallus (chicken). Its description in RNAcentral is "lncRNA (ENSGALG00010026632.1)". Lineage: Eukaryota; Metazoa; Chordata; Aves; Galliformes; Phasianidae. The record is from RNAcentral.
ACAGUGACUCCGCCAGCUCCUUUGGCAGCCUGUGCCACUGCAUCACCACUCUUUCAAAGCAGAAAUUCUUCCUAAGCUCAUACAGACUUGGAGCAGCUUAGAUCCCACAGCAUUUGGUUCCCUGAGCAGAAAAGCAGCUUCCAUGCAGGGCAAAGGCUUCUCACAGCCCUUUAGGCUCUUUCGCAGUGGGCUGGUUGGACUGCAUCUGGCUGUGCACAUUCAGAGCCGGCCUUGAGCACAGACAGACAAAUCCGUGGGGAGGAGAAAGAAGCUGCAGGGCUCGUUGGGGCACUUAGGGCAGCUCAGACAUUCCAGGGAUGAUAUUUUCCUGGAAGCAAAGUACUUCAGUGCUGUGUACCUUAGUACUAUAUUCCCUGUGGAUCUAGGGCCACUCUGUGCUGUGCCAGUUUAUCUGAAGUGGACUGAAUGAAAAUAGAUGGAUAUACACUGGAUAUAUACUGGAUAAAAACGUUGUUGUGAUAGCUGCCAGUUCAGCAGUCACUUACUGAAUUUCUGGAGAUCUGGACAACUAUGUUAAGUGCUUAUGCAAGGACAUGUCACAGACAGAGCUCUGUGCAUCUGGACGAUCUCCCAGAUGUGUACCAUAUAGAUUUGGGGGUGUGUGGGCCCUUGUUGCAGAACGCUAUGGUGCAAAUUCACCUUAACAGAUUUCCCAAUAAGUUCUCUGGGUAAACAUUCCUGCUGUGGCUUUCACUAUCUGGACUUUUCCAUGCAGCUCUGGAAUGUGUUUGGUGACCUGGAUAACACAGGCAAAGUGCUUUUGCUUUCAGAUGGGGAAAGACUGUGUUUGAGACGUUCCACGUUUGUUAACUCCCAUAUCCUCUUGGCUCUGUGUUCUCCAUCUCCUCGUAGACCAGAAACAAAGCCUCCAUUUUCGUCUGUUCUUUUUCAGGUAGCUGCUAGAUUUGCAAGUGAGUAAGGGCAAGUUUUAUGAAUAGCCGUAGAGUAACUUGCAUUGGUUUUUUGGAAGUGCUUAAAAAAAAACCAUACAACCCACAUUUGCAAAAGCUAUUGCAUAUUUUAUUACCAGUACAAGUGUGGAUCAGGCUGUAUGUAGAUGUACCGUUCCACACACAUACCAUUCUGGAAUGUGAACACAAAAACGUGUCUGUGCAGACACUUUUACUUAGACCAAGAUGAAGAGUUACAAAACGCUAUGUGGCAGAACAGUAUAAUUUUUUCUCUCAUUCUUUUAUCACUGCCUUUUAAUGAAUAUCAGUAGUCCCAUUUCUCUUUCAGCUAGGGUGGUUCAAGCAUUGCUACACAUUGGGAUAUUUAAAUGGAUGUUUUGGGCUUGAGUGAUUAAUUUGCAAGAUGCUGCGUGAUUUGAAGCAUUAGAAUUGCAUCAUUUACAGCUCUGUGUCAGCCAGAAUGCCUGCCUGCUCCAUGCAGGGCUGAGGGCAAGGCAGAUGUCUCUACUGUCUGUGAUUUCAUCUGUCUCUGUCCAAUGGUUCUUGUGCUACUGUUAUGGAAAACAAAGGAAGACAAAAAAUAGACUGCACAUCUGGCACUGUGAAGUUUUGCAGUCUGAGAAUUGCACAGUGUGUACUAAGAAGGGUACCUGUAAGAAGAAAAACUUCACGAUCACUUUUAGCACGCACAGCCUGUUAACUCCUUUCCAGUUUCUUAAACAGAAAAUCUCCAAAGUAAAGUCAUUCUACAUACACUAAAUGAAGCCUUUCUUCUGAUGCAGAAGAUGAUCCCUUUGAGCAACCCUUGCCUGGGCUUCCCACGUGCUGUCUGCCUGGGAGACAGAGUACACAGGCAAAAGUGGACCUCACCUUGCCAAAGUACCUUGCUCAAGAACACAGCUUGGCUACAUUCAUCACAGCAAUGAUAUUAUCAAAUAGAAAUGUGUUUAUAGCUUUCUGACUUUGAACCUGCAGACUAUAACUACUUCUUCCUGUACAGGCCAAACUGUGUGUCAGGUGAGAGAGAAAAGGUGGGAAGAAUCAUUUUGUGGAGCAGCCUGUCUUAGUAAUAAUGGGGGAGGUUAGGACAACUAUUAUGUUAAGGGGGUGUCUCAGUUAAGAAUCUUAAUGACUUUUUUGACUUAUUCUUCACCAACAAGUGCUCUAGCCAUGCUGCCCAAGCUGCAGAAAGCAAAGCCUAGGACUGAAAGAAUGAAGAACCCUCCAGUGUAGAAGACCAUAGUUGAGGCCAUCUAAGGAACUUGAAGGUGCACAAGUCCAUGGGACCUGAUGAGAUGUGUCUGUGAAUCCUGAGGCAACUAGUGGAUCAAGUUGCUAAGCCACUAUCCAUCCUAUUUGAGACACUGGCAUAAUCCUCAUUUUUAAAAAUGGAAAAAAGUAAGAUGUGGGGAACUACAGGCCAGUCAUUCUCACCUUUGUGCCCAGAAGAUCAGGUAACAUAGAGAAGAUCAUCUCAUCAUCAGAGAACAGCGAGGUGAUUGGUGAGAGCCAGCAUGGCUUCACUAAAGGCAAAUUAUGCCUGAAAAGUUUGGUGGCCUUCUAUGGCAGGGUUACAUCAAUGGUGGAUAAGGGAAGAGCAAGUGAUGUCAUCUACCUGGACUUGUGCAAAGCAUUUGACAGUGUCCAGCACAGCCUCCUAGUCUCUAAACUGGAGAGAAAUGGGUUUGAGUGAUGGACCACACAAUGGAUAAGGAAUUGGUCACACUUGAAGGCUUGUGGACAACAGCUCGAUGUUUAAGGUCUCUUCCAAUCCAAACUAUUCUAUGAUUUAUGGUUUCAAAUGCAAUAAAUUAAUAAAUGC